UGGGCCGACACUGACGCUGAUGCGCGAAAGCCAGGGGAGCAAACGGGAUUAGAUACCCCGGUAGUCGUGGCCCUAAACGAUGAAUACUUGGUGUCUGGAGUUUCAAUGCUCCGGGUGCCGUCGCUAGCGUUUUAAGUAUUCCGCCUGGGGAGUACGCUCGCAAGAGUGAAACUCAAAGGAAUUGUCGGGGACCCGCACAAGCGGUGGAGCAUGUGGUUUAAUUUGACGCAACGCGAAGAACGUUACCUGGGCUAGAAUGUGAGGGAAUGUCGGGUAACGCCGACAGUCCGGGAAACGGGACCCGAAACAAGGUGAUGCAUGGCUGUCGUCAGCUUGUGUCGUGAGAUGUUGGGUUAAGUCCCGCAACGAGCGCAACCUUUAUCAACAGUGGCCAUCAUUAAGUUGGGCACUCUGUUGAGUCUGCCGCUGAUAAAACGGAGGAAGGUGGGGAGGAUGUCAAGUCAUCACGGCGUGUAUGGUCAGGGUUUCACACGUGCUACAAUUGGUGGUACAAAAGGUC
RNAcentral lists this ribosomal RNA (520 nucleotides) under uncultured organism. RNAcentral's name for it is "SSU rRNA". It matches the Rfam family "Bacterial small subunit ribosomal RNA", at positions 730 to 1248 of the family's 1533-position model. The record is from RNAcentral.